AUUGAACGCUGGCGGCAUGCUUUACACAUGCAAGUCGAACGGUAACAGGGAGCUUGCUCCGCUGACGAGUGGCGAACGGGUGAGUAAUGCGUCGGAACGUGCCGAGUAGUGGGGGAUAACGCAGCGAAAGUUGUGCUAAUACCGCAUACGUACUGAGGUAGAAAGUGGGGGACCUUCGGGCCUCACGCUAUUCGAGCGGCCGACGUCUGAUUAGCUAGUAGGUGAGGUAAAGGCUCACCUAGGCGACGAUCAGUAGCGGGUCUGAGAGGAUGAGCCGCCACACUGGGACUGCGACACGGCCCAGACUCCUACGGGAGGCAGCAGUGGGGAAUUUUGGACAAUGGGCGAAAGCCUGUUCCAGCCAUGCCGCGUGUCUGAAGAAGGCCUUCGGGUUGUAAAGGACUUUUGUCGGGGAUGAAAUCCCCAGCGCUAAUACCGCUGGGGGAUGACAGUACCUGAAGAAUAAGCACCGGCUAACUACGUGCCAGCCGCCGCCGUAA
RNAcentral lists this ribosomal RNA (500 nucleotides) under uncultured bacterium. Its description in RNAcentral is "partial 16S ribosomal RNA". It matches the Rfam family "Bacterial small subunit ribosomal RNA", at positions 30 to 523 of the family's 1533-position model. The record is from RNAcentral.